This 401-nucleotide ribosomal RNA is filed under the name uncultured eukaryote. RNAcentral's name for it is "SSU rRNA". It matches the Rfam family "Eukaryotic small subunit ribosomal RNA", at positions 567 to 972 of the family's 1831-position model. The record is from RNAcentral.
CCAGCAGCCGCGGUAAUUCCAGCUCCAAUAGCGUAUAUUAAAGUUGUUGCAGUUAAAAAGCUCGUAGUUGGAUUUGUGGCUGUCACGGGCGGCCUAUCACUUAGUGUUAGUGCUUGCCUGUGUCGCCAUCCUUGGGUGGAGCCCGUGUGGCAUUAGGUUGUCGUGCGGGGGAUGCCCAUCGUUUACUGUGAGAAAAUUAGAGUGUUCAAAGCAGGCUUAUGCCGUUGAAUAUGUUAGCAUGGAAUAAUAAGAUAGGACCUCGGUACUAUUUUGUUGGUUUGCGCACCGAGGUAAUGAUUAGUAGGGACAGUUGGGGGUAUUCGUAUUCCAUUGUCAGAGGUGAAAUUCUUGGAUUUCUGGAAGACGAACUACUGCGAAAGCAUUUACCAAGGAUGUUUUCA